GAUGAACGCUGGCGGCGUGCCUAAUACAUGCAAGUCGAGCGAACAGACGAGGAGCUUGCUCCUCUGACGUUAGCGGCGGACGGGUGAGUAACACGUGGAUAACCUACCUAUAAGACUGGGAUAACUUCGGGAAACCGGAGCUAAUACCGGAUAAUAUAUUGAACCGCAUGGUUCAUUAGUGAAAGACGGUUUUGCUGUCACUUAUAGAUGGAUCCGCGCCGCAUUAGCUAGUUGGUAAGGUAACGGCUUACCAAGGCGACGAUGCGUAGCCGACCUGAGAGGGUGAUCAGCCACACUGGAACUGAGACACGGUCCAGACUCCUACGGGAGGCAGCAGUAGGGAAUCUUCCGCAAUGGGCGAAAGCCUGACGGAGCAACGCCGCGUGAGUGAUGAAGGUCUUCGGAUCGUAAAACUCUGUUAUUAGGGAAGAACAAAUGUGUAAGUAACUAUGCACGUCUUGACGGUACCUAAUCAGAAAGCCACGGCUAACUACGUG
This 497-nucleotide ribosomal RNA is filed under the name uncultured bacterium. RNAcentral's name for it is "partial 16S ribosomal RNA". It matches the Rfam family "Bacterial small subunit ribosomal RNA", at positions 28 to 507 of the family's 1533-position model. The record is from RNAcentral.